Eucalyptus grandis is the source of this 160-nucleotide long non-coding RNA. RefSeq lists it as uncharacterized. The record is from RefSeq and is a predicted model, not a curated record. The transcript is spliced from 4 exons. Lineage: Eukaryota; Viridiplantae; Streptophyta; Magnoliopsida; Myrtales; Myrtaceae.
ACGAGGGUUGCGCUCGUUGCGGGACUUAACCCAACACCUUACGGCACGAACUGACGACAGCCAUGCACCACCUGUGUCCGCGUUCCCGAAGGCACACCUCUCUUUCAAGAGGAUUCGCGGCAUGUCAAGCCCUGGUAAGGAGAUCGGAAGAGCGCACUUC